RNAcentral lists this ribosomal RNA (440 nucleotides) under uncultured bacterium. RNAcentral describes it as "partial 16S ribosomal RNA". It matches the Rfam family "Bacterial small subunit ribosomal RNA", at positions 338 to 795 of the family's 1533-position model. The record is from RNAcentral.
CCUACGGGGGGCAGCAGUAGGGAAUAUUGCUCAAUGGGGGAAACCCUGAAGCAGCAACGCCGCGUGAAGGAUGAAGGUUUUCGGAUUGUAAACUCCUUUUGUUAGAGAAGAUAAUGACGGUAUCUAACGAAUAAGCACCGGCUAACUCCGUGCCAGCAGCCGCGGUAAUACGGAGGGUGCAAGCGUUACUCGGAAUCACUGGGCGGAAAGAGCGCGUAGGCGGGAUAGCAAGUCAGAUGUGAAAUCCUAUGGCUUAACCAUAGAACUGCAUUUGAAACUGUUAUUCUAGAGUAUGGGAGAGGUAGGUGGAAUUCUUGGUGUAGGGGUAAAAUCCGUAGAGAUCAAGAGGAAUACUCAUUGCGAAGGCGACCUGCUAGAACAUAACUGACGCUGAUGCGCGAAAGCGUGGGGAGCAAACAGGAUUAGAUACCCUAGUAGUC